AGGACGAACGCUGGCGGCGUGCCUAAUACAUGCAAGUAGAACGCUGAAGAGAGGAGCUUGCUCUUCUUGGAUGAGUUGCGAACGGGUGAGUAACGCGUAGGUAACCUGCCUUGUAGCGGGGGAUAACUAUUGGAAACGAUAGCUAAUACCGCAUAACAAUGGAUGACACAUGUCAUUUAUUUGAAAGGGGCAAUUGUUCCACUACAAGAUGGACCUGCGUUGUAUUAGCUAGUAGGUGAGGUAAUGGCUCACCUAGGCGACGAUACAUAGCCGACCUGAGAGGGUGAUCGGCCACACUGGGACUGAGACACGGCCCAGACUCCUACGGGAGGCAGCAGUAGGGAAUCUUCGGCAAUGGGGGCAACCCUGACCGAGCAACGCCGCGUGAGUGAAGAAGGUUUUCGGAUCGUAAAGCUCUGUUGUAAGUCAAGAACGGGUGUGAGAGUGGAAAGUUCACACUGUGACGGUAGCUUACCAGAAAGGGACGGCUAACUACGUGCCAGCAGCCGCGGUAAUACGUAGGUCCCGAGCGUUGUCCGGAUUUAUUGGGCGUAAAGCGAGCGCAGGCGGUUUGAUAAGUCUGAAGUUAAAGGCUGUGGCUCAACCAUAGUUCGCUUUGGAAACUGUCAAACUUGAGUGCAGAAGGGGAGAGUGGAAUUCCAUGUGUAGCGGUGAAAUGCGUAGAUAUAUGGAGGAACACCGGUGGCGAAAGCGGCUCUCUGGUCUGUAACUGACGCUGAGGCUCGAAAGCGUGGGGAGCGAACAGGAUUAGAUACCCUGGUAGUCCACGCCGUAAACGAUGAGUGCUAGGUGUUGGAUCCUUUCCGGGAUUCAGUGCCGCAGCUAACGCAUUAAGCACUCCGCCUGGGGAGUACGACCGCAAGGUUGAAACUCAGAGGAAUUGACGGGGGCCCGCACAAGCGGUGGAGCAUGUGGUUUAAUUCGAAGCAACGCGAAGAACCUUACCAGGUCUUGACAUCCCGAUGCUAUUUCUAGAGAUAGAAAGUUACUUCGGUACAUCGGUGACAGGUGGUGCAUGGUUGUCGUCAGCUCGUGUCGUGAGAUGUUGGGUUAAGUCCCGCAACGAGCGCAACCCCUAUUGUUAGUUGCCAUCAUUCAGUUGGGCACUCUAGCGAGACUGCCGGUAAUAAACCGGAGGAAGGUGGGGAUGACGUCAAAUCAUCAUGCCCCUUAUGACCUGGGCUACACACGUGCUACAAUGGUUGGUACAACGAGUUGCGAGUCGGUGACGGCGAGCUAAUCUCUUAAAGCCAAUCUCAGUUCGGAUUGUAGGCUGCAACUCGCCUACAUGAAGUCGGAAUCGCUAGUAAUCGCGGAUCAGCACGCCGCGGUGAAUACGUUC
This 1363-nucleotide ribosomal RNA is filed under the name metagenome. RNAcentral's name for it is "bacterial SSU rRNA". It matches the Rfam family "Bacterial small subunit ribosomal RNA", at positions 26 to 1373 of the family's 1533-position model. The record is from RNAcentral.